GUGCUCGCUUCGGCAGCACAUAUACUAAAAUUGGAACGAUACAGAGAAGAUUAGCAUGGCCCCUGCACAGGGGUCCAAGAAUGUGUUUUCAGGGAUGUGCAUAUUCUAAAUUUUU
Molecule: small nuclear RNA, 115 nt
Filed under: Neogale vison (American mink)
Lineage: Eukaryota; Metazoa; Chordata; Mammalia; Carnivora; Mustelidae
Source: RNAcentral